GAUAAAGAACGUAGCGAAAUGCGAUAAGUAAUGUGAAUUGCAGAAUUCAGUGAAUCAUCGAAUCUUUGAACGCACAUUGCGCCCGCCAGUAUUCUGGCGGGCAUGCCUGUUCGAGCGUCAUUUCAACCAUCAAGCCCCCGGCUUGUGUUGGGGACCUGCGGCUGCCGCAGGCCCUGAAAAGCAGUGGCGGGCUCGCUGUCACACCGAGCGUAGUAGCAUACAUCUCGCUCUGGGCGUGCUGCGGGUUCCGGCCGUUAAACCACCUUCAUAACCCAAGGUUGACCUCGGAUCAGGUAGGAAGACCCGCUGAACUUAAGCAUAUCAAUAAGCGGAGGA
RNAcentral lists this unclassified non-coding RNA (336 nucleotides) under soil metagenome. RNAcentral's name for it is "partial contains 5.8S ribosomal RNA, internal transcribed spacer 2, and large subunit ribosomal RNA". The stretch from base 1 to 120 matches the Rfam family "5.8S ribosomal RNA", at positions 35 to 154 of the family's 154-position model. The record is from RNAcentral.